Molecule: long non-coding RNA, 1521 nt
Organism: Salvia miltiorrhiza (redroot sage)
Lineage: Eukaryota; Viridiplantae; Streptophyta; Magnoliopsida; Lamiales; Lamiaceae
Exons: 2
Source: RefSeq, a predicted model, not a curated record
AGAGAAGGAGGGGAGGCAGGAUAGAGUCGGCGGCGACGGCGGUAUUUCGAGCUGCUGGCCGAAAUUCAGAGGGGAGGAAGAGGCGGUUUAGGGAGAAUCGGAGAUGGUGGUGAUGAAUCGCGGCGGCGGUUGCCUAUUGGUGCCGUCCGUUCGUCGAUCGGGAGAGAAGGUGGCUGAGCGACGCUGCUGCUGUGCCGCGACGGCAAGGCGAUGCUCCGACUGCCUCUCCCUUAAAAUCAAAGGAAAUGGUUUGGGAUUUUGGGGAUUUCCUUUUUGACAGAGAGAGAAGCAAGAUAGGGGAAGGGGGAGCCGCGACGGCGACAUAGCUUUCGUCGCCGGCGAUGGAGAAGUGGCGAGGCGGCUGGUGAGAGAGAGAUGGCGGAGAAAGGAGGAGAAGGGGGUGUGUUCUGAGAGAGAGAGAGAGGGGAGGCGUAGAGAAGGAGAGAUAAGGGGUUUUUGACUUAUGAAAUUUUGGGCCUAUACUUUUAAUUCAAGUUGGGCCUGAUUUAAUUAAAGAGUUGGGCUGCAUGUUUGUUUAGAUGUUGGGCUGAAUUACAUUCUUUAACUCAGGCUUUACUUAAAUUAUUUAGUCGAGUCCUGAUUCAGUUGAUUAUUUUUAAUAAUGCAAUAAAAGUAUUUUGAUAAAUUUGAUUUUUUUUAUGAUAUUCAUUUGAGUUUUGAAAAUUCGGGCGCAGAAUAUUAAGAUUUAGCAGCUUUGUAGAAUCGUUAGCUCAUGCGAUAUUUUGAGACCUAUUAAGAUUAGAUUGUCUUGUAGGUCCACUUGAGAGAAGGAAUUAGUUUUGCGUUUACAAGAAGAGAAUUGUACAUCUUUUAUCUACAAGCUUGUUCUAUCGAGGUGGGUUUUUAUUUUCCAAAUGUAUGUUUUGAGUUAUUAAGCUCUACUUGUUUUAUGCAAAUGCAAAUGAAUGUCCAUGUUAAAAUGUUUUUAUCUCUCUAUAGUUUAAAGUGUUCCUAUGUUCUCUAACGAUCGGGUCCUAGCCGGCGUAGCGAUUGGAUCGCCCUGGUUAGGAUUGUGUACACACAAGGGGGUAUUGUGGGCUGCUCCCACUUGCCCCAGACUGUCAGACUUGGGCUGCUCUCAUUUCUGAAACAUGCAUGGUAGUGGACCUCUGUGGGCUGCUCCCACAUGUUCACAUUAUAGGCGAAGCACCAGUAGAGAGAAGACUGAAAAUGGAUCCACAAUUUAUUUUAAGUUGAGCGGCAGGUGGUGACGUGCGAGGCUGAGGGAGGAUGUUGCUGUAGUUUCAUAUAAUAAUUUAUGCUGCCAUAAUAUUCACUAAGGUGGAUAUCUUUUGAGAUUGACUCUUUAAAUAUUCUUAGCCUAAUUAUUAUGAACUCUUUUGGCAAUCGCAUUUCUAGCAACUGAACCUCGCAUAUAUGUAUGUCUAGUAUGAAGUGUUAUCUUGUUGUCUCAGACCUCCGAACUUUUGAUCCUGGUUGGGAGAAUUUCUAUCUUAGUUGUCGUAAUUAUUAUCCUUCAAUUACGAAAUUCCUUUAUUA